CACGUAGGGCGCAAGCGUUGUCCGGAAUUAUUGGGCGUAAAGAGCUCGUAGGUGGUUUGUUACGUCUGCUGUGAAAACCUAGGGCUUAACCCUGGGCUUGCAGUGGAUACGGGCAGACUAGAGGUAGGUAGGGGAGAAUGGAAUUUCCGGUGUAGCGGUGAAAUGCGUAGAUAUCGGAAGGAACACCUGUGGCGAAAGCGGCUCACUGGACCAUUACUGACGCUGAGGCACGAAAGCUAGGGGAGCAAACAGG
This 253-nucleotide ribosomal RNA is filed under the name uncultured bacterium. RNAcentral's name for it is "partial 16S ribosomal RNA". It matches the Rfam family "Bacterial small subunit ribosomal RNA", at positions 524 to 776 of the family's 1533-position model. The record is from RNAcentral.